GAGAGAGAGAGAGAGAGAGAGAGAGAGAGAGAGAGUUUUUAAUUUAUUUUAAAAUUUAAAUUUCGUAAGUUAAAGAAUAAAAAUUUAUAAUUUUUAAAAUUACAAAAUUAAAAUUUUAAAUUUUAAAUUGUUUAAUUUUAAAAUUUAAAACUUGAUACUUUAAAUUUUUUAUAUUUAGAAUUUAAUAUUUUGUAUUUUUAAAUUAAAAUUUCAUAUUAAAUUUAAAGUUUAAAAUUUAAAAUUUUAAUUUUUAAGAUUGUAAAUUUGAGAUUUUAAAAUUUUAAAAUUUAAAAGUUUAUAUUUUAAAUUCUAAAAUAUAAAUAUAAAAUAUAAAAAUUCAAAUUUUAAUAUAAAGAAAAUGAUGAUACCAUUAUUUUUUAUUUAUAACUAUCUACUUAAAUUUUUAUUCCAUCUUAUCUAACCAAACGCUAUUUUUUUUAUUCUCAGGAAUAAUCCAAUUUUCAUCCAAACACAAAAUUGAUCUAAUCCCCACUUAUACCUCAAUUUAUACCUAUCCCUAGAAUAGUCACUUUUUGCUUAUUCCCGAACCAAACGGUACCUAAGUUAACUUCCCUAAUUUCUGUUGCUAUAUG
This 593-nucleotide long non-coding RNA is filed under the name Ananas comosus (pineapple). Its description in RNAcentral is "long non-coding RNA (ACOM_LNC029713)". Lineage: Eukaryota; Viridiplantae; Streptophyta; Magnoliopsida; Poales; Bromeliaceae. The record is from RNAcentral.